Long non-coding RNA from Fukomys damarensis (Damara mole-rat), 573 nucleotides. RefSeq lists it as uncharacterized. The record is from RefSeq and is a predicted model, not a curated record. The transcript has 4 exons. NCBI's taxonomy places the organism in Eukaryota, Metazoa, Chordata, Mammalia, Rodentia, Bathyergidae.
CAGGCAGUGUCCGUUAGGGCUGACCAGGGCCUGCUCCAUGCCGGUUCCGAGCCUCCAGAGUGGGUUCCCAGAUUUAGCAAUAAAAGUAAAGAACUUGCGGUGCAAUCUGCACUUUAGGUGAGCGGAAAAGCAUGUCUGGUGUGAGGAUGUGCUGUACCAGCCUGCUUUUCAUGCUUUAAUGUGACCACUGCUGGCUUCCCUCAGUGGCUGCCCUAAGUCUGCACAUGUCUUCUGAUGGAGGCAAACCCACCAUCAGUCCUUGGAAGGAGUUAUCUUGAGUGCCUCUGAGCGGAAAAGAAGGGAAUACAGACUUUGGUGGUGUCUUGCUAUGCAACUGAGGUGAUACACAACUUCUUGCUUCUCCUACAGCUAGGAGCAGUGAGUGUGAUUCAAUUCAACCAAUAGAAAGUACAAUGCAGUGGCACUGAAGAUAAAGAGGGACGUGGCGAGAGGACUCCAGAGGGACUCCAAAGAGCACCAGUGAUGCGAAGACAGUUCAUUGAUCCUCUGGCCGCUGCGGGCGUGGGAGCAUUUCCCUUGGUUUUCAACCAACAUUAAAUAACAUAUUUGAGA